AGGACAGAAUAAAGUUGGAAAUUGCAUGGGAUGCAAUUGGAAAGAGUUUCCUACCUUUGAACUUAUAAGGGCUUGUUGUGAUUCCCACAAGGUCUUUUAUAAGGAAUUUGGAUCUCAACCCCACUAAGAAAAUUAGUAUUUUCUCGUUCAUCAUACUUGAGGGUUAUGAUAUUCGAUAAAAAUAGUGGGAGUAACAAUUAGAUAAAAGUCCUUGUCUGAUUGAAUACAUGUCAUCAUAAUUGGUCUGCUUAUAUUAGUGUUCUUUAUAAUU
This 271-nucleotide long non-coding RNA is filed under the name Phoenix dactylifera (date palm). Its description in RNAcentral is "long non-coding RNA (PDAC_LNC021734)". Lineage: Eukaryota; Viridiplantae; Streptophyta; Magnoliopsida; Arecales; Arecaceae. The record is from RNAcentral.